RNAcentral lists this ribosomal RNA (443 nucleotides) under Parthenope longimanus. RNAcentral's name for it is "partial 12S small subunit ribosomal RNA". The record is from RNAcentral. Lineage: Eukaryota; Metazoa; Arthropoda; Malacostraca; Decapoda; Parthenopidae.
AAGGGUGAAAUUGAAUUGUUUUUUUUAAAGAUUUUAUUUUAAUUGAAGCUAAGAAUUUUUAGAGUUAAACUAGGAUUAGAUACCCUAUUAUACUAAAAAGUAGAUAUAAGCCUAAUUAUUUAUAGUUAUGUUCUUAAAAUUUAAAGAAUUUGGCGGUGAUUUAGUCUUGUCAGAGGAAUCUGUUUUUUAAUCGAUACACCACGAAAAAUCUUGCUCGAGCUUAUAUACCGUCAUUAUCAGAUAAUUUUUAAAGAAUAAAUUAUUGCAGUUUAUAGAUAUAAAUAAAAUUAGAUCAAGGUGUAGCUUAUAAAUGAGUUAAAAUGGAUUACAAUAAAAUUUAUUUAAAUGGAAUAAUUUUUAUGAAGGUGGAUUUGAUUGUAUAUAGGUUUAAUAAGCUUAUAAGAUAAAAGCUCUAGAUCAUGUACAUAUCGCCCGUCGCUUUC